RNAcentral lists this transfer RNA (73 nucleotides) under Acanthoscelides obtectus. It matches the Rfam family "tRNA". From Rfam's summary of the family: Transfer RNA (tRNA) molecules are approximately 80 nucleotides in length. Their secondary structure includes four short double-helical elements and three loops (D, anti-codon, and T loops). Lineage: Eukaryota; Metazoa; Arthropoda; Insecta; Coleoptera; Chrysomelidae. The record is from Rfam by way of RNAcentral.
GUUUCUGUAGCCCAAGUGGUAAAGCACUGGACUCGUAAACAAGAGGUCGUGAGUUCAAUCCUCACAAGAGGCA